RNAcentral lists this long non-coding RNA (425 nucleotides) under Homo sapiens (human). RNAcentral's name for it is "HSALNT0304438". Lineage: Eukaryota; Metazoa; Chordata; Mammalia; Primates; Hominidae. The record is from RNAcentral.
CUUCUCUUUAUAAACUCAACUUGUCUCCUUCCAAGAGAUACAGGACCUCCAGACUGAACUUGCAGACUGAACUUGGGUACCAAGGCUUCUAGAACUUUUUAAUUUAUAGAUAGAUAACAAUUUACGGAACUGCCAAGGCCUUCCAGGAAGUCUGAAUUCUACUCUCCUGGCUACAGAUUUACUAACCGUCUAUUCCUCUUCCUUAUUCAUCCCCCUAACCACAUCUCUCCUACCUUUAAAAUUUCAUCAGUACUCUUCUCAGUUUUUGCAUAAAACUGUAUCCUUUACUCCUAUCUAGUUAAACUUUGCUGUUUGAUAAACAAGUUAUUAUUUCUUCCCAAGAUGGCUACUCUCAAAAAACAGAAAAUAACAAGCAUUGGUGAGGAUGUGGAGAUAUUGCAAAGAAACCCUUGAGCACUGCUGAU